AUUUCCUUUAAGUUUAGUCCCGUGAGGCUAAGAAGGGUGUGAGCAAAGCGACAUAUGGUGCGCCAUAUCGAACGUUGCUCUCUAGCAGAGUAUAACUAUAAGUGUACCCAAAGUAUACGCUCAGUCUAAAACAUUCCUCCUGUCCUCUUAGGGCAGGAGUUUUUUUGU
Molecule: non-coding RNA, 168 nt
Organism: Enterococcus durans ATCC 6056
Lineage: Bacteria; Bacillati; Bacillota; Bacilli; Lactobacillales; Enterococcaceae
Source: Rfam